UACGUAGGGGGCGAGCGUUGUCCGGAGUUACUAGGCGUAAAGCGCUUGUAGGCGGUCCACCAAGUUUGGGGUGACAGUUGCCGACUUAAUCGGCAAAGUGCCUCAAAGACUGGCGGACUUGAGGGCCACAGAGGGACAUGGAACUCCAGGUGUAGUGGUGAAAUGCGUAGAUAUCUGGAAGAACACCAAAGGCGAAGGCAGUGUCCUGGGUGGUCGCUGACGCUGAGAGGCGAAAGCCAGGGGAGCGAACGGG
RNAcentral lists this ribosomal RNA (253 nucleotides) under uncultured bacterium. RNAcentral's name for it is "partial 16S ribosomal RNA". It matches the Rfam family "Bacterial small subunit ribosomal RNA", at positions 524 to 776 of the family's 1533-position model. The record is from RNAcentral.